Long non-coding RNA from Piliocolobus tephrosceles (Ugandan red Colobus), 1266 nucleotides. Lineage: Eukaryota; Metazoa; Chordata; Mammalia; Primates; Cercopithecidae. The record is from Ensembl.
AUAUUACGUAUAUAUUACGUAUAUAUUACGUAUAUAAUAAUGUAAAUACAAAAAAAAAAAAGGUAAGACUUUGAGUUCGUCACAUGAUGCUGUAUAACAUUAACAUACAUGUUUUUAUAUAUUAUAUAAAAUAUGUAUAAUACAUAAACAUAUAUAAAUAUGAUACCCAUGUGUACAUAUUGUCCUCGUCCGCAACAUUAAGGUUACUAUUACAAUAAGUAGUUUUUUUUUUUUAAUUUGGAAGUAAAUUGGAGUUUUUAUUAUUGUUGUAAUUUAUAUUGUUAUUAUUUUUUUUUUUUUUUUUUACCUUGCUUAUUUGGCUUGUUUUGUUUAGUUUGUCUUUUUUUCAUUUUCGUUGUUGGUCUUGGACCAUUUUGUUACUUAACAAGUUGUCAUAUACAGAUUUAUUUACAGAUUUAUAUGUACACAAAAAUGGAUGAAUGCGUAAAACUCGUUGAAGAAUAUAUUUCACCUGAACAAGUCAUGUUACAUUAUGGGAAAGAAAAAAAAGUAGAAUUAAUAUAUGAAAAAAAUAAAGAUAAAGAAGAAAAUAAGAUAAGAAAUGAAAUAGUAAAUAAGUUAGUAGUUCUGAUAAAAAAUGACGCAGAGGCGACAGAAAAAAUAAGCGAAUGUGUUAGGGACUUGGUAAGUUUAAGUUCAAAAACGGACAUUUAUAUGAACAGUUCAGGUGAAAUGGAAAAAACAAAUAAAAUUAAUAAAAUUGGCCAAUCUGAUAAAUAUAAAAAAUUAAUCGAAAUAAUUAUAAUAUUACAAAAAUAUUUUUUUUGUAAUGAAAAUUUAAAAAGAGGAUCAGCAGUCCAUUUAUUAGCCCAACUAUUUGAACGUCUGGAUUUAUAUGACUUAAAUAUAGAAUAUUAUAAAGCAAUUAUAUUUUUUUUUGUAAAAAAAAUAAAAGAUUGGCAUUGUGUUAAUGGAGUAGUAAAUUUCUUUUUUAUUAUGUUAAACAAAUAUAGUGAUAUAAUAAAAAUUAUAAAAUACGAUUCUAUGUGUUUUUCACCAGAAUAUAAAAAAUUAUUUAUGGUAAAAAAAAGUAGUGUAAAACAUAUAAACGUGUUUAAUUUAGAAAAAAAAGAAAGUCUCAAUUGUGUUAAUUUUAUUAAUAAUAAUAAUGGUAAUAAUAAUAAUGGUAAUAAUAAUAAUGGUAAUAAUGAUGGUAAUGGUGUUAUGUGUGGUAGUGAUGUUAUGGAUUGCUGUUUAAAAUCGGGAGAAACUGAUGUAAAAUCCGAACUAAACAAUCUAUCAAAU